GGCUUUAUAGUCUAAAUAAGAUAUUAGGCUGCAAUCCUAAAGAUGUAGAAUUACUAAGGCUU
RNAcentral lists this transfer RNA (62 nucleotides) under Cinygmina sp. 07BF85. RNAcentral's name for it is "tRNA-Cys". It matches the Rfam family "tRNA". Rfam says of the family: Transfer RNA (tRNA) molecules are approximately 80 nucleotides in length. Their secondary structure includes four short double-helical elements and three loops (D, anti-codon, and T loops). RNAcentral also lists the same sequence under 1 other name. Lineage: Eukaryota; Metazoa; Arthropoda; Insecta; Ephemeroptera; Heptageniidae. The record is from RNAcentral.